Molecule: small nucleolar RNA, 76 nt
Filed under: Ciona savignyi (Pacific transparent sea squirt)
Lineage: Eukaryota; Metazoa; Chordata; Ascidiacea; Phlebobranchia; Cionidae
Source: RNAcentral
GAUCGCAAUGAUGUUAACUACAUGUCUCUUCUCUGAAAAAUUCUAUGAAGAGUAAUUGUUUCAGUUCUGAGUGAUC